AUCCUUUUGUGGUUCAGUAGUGUGAUGACUGGGUUUUCAUGCUAUCGUGAGAGAUGUGCCUCCUUCAAACCUUGUUAUGACAUCGGCACCUUACCCAUCUGACA
This is a small nucleolar RNA of Cynocephalus volans (Philippine flying lemur), 104 nucleotides long. RefSeq annotates it as small nucleolar RNA U13. The record is from RefSeq and is a predicted model, not a curated record. Lineage: Eukaryota; Metazoa; Chordata; Mammalia; Dermoptera; Cynocephalidae. The transcript has a single exon.